Molecule: unclassified non-coding RNA, 114 nt
Organism: Microcebus murinus (gray mouse lemur)
Lineage: Eukaryota; Metazoa; Chordata; Mammalia; Primates; Cheirogaleidae
Rfam family: Y RNA
About the family: Y RNAs are components of the Ro ribonucleoprotein particle (Ro RNP), in association with Ro60 and La proteins. The Y RNAs and Ro60 and La proteins are well conserved, but the function of the Ro RNP is not known. In humans the RNA component can be one of four small RNAs -- hY1, hY3, hY4 and hY5.
Source: Ensembl
GGCUGGUCUGAAGGUGGUGAGUUAUCUCACUUGAUUGUUCACAGUGAGUUACAGAUUGAUCUCCUCAUUCUACUACUUUCCCUCCUUCUCACUACUGCACUUGACUAGUCUAAA